GAUGAAGAACGUAGCGAAAUGUGAUAAGUAAUGUGAAUUGCAGAAUUCAGUGAAUCAUCGAAUCUUUGAACGCACAUUGCGCCCCUUGGUAUUCCGGGGGGCAUGCCUGUUCGAGCGUCAUUUCAACCCUCAAGCUCUGCUUGGUAUUGGGCUCCGUCCUCCUCGGACGCGCCUCAAAGACCUCGGCGGUGGCGUCUUGCCUCAAGCGUAGUAGAAACACCUCGCUUUGGAGUGCAUGGCGUCGCCCGCCGGACGAAACCUUUUGUAUUUUCUCAAGGUUGACCUCGGAUCAGGUAGGGAUACCCGCUGAACUUAAGCAUAUCAAUAAGCGGAGGA
RNAcentral lists this unclassified non-coding RNA (336 nucleotides) under soil metagenome. Its description in RNAcentral is "partial contains 5.8S ribosomal RNA, internal transcribed spacer 2, and large subunit ribosomal RNA". The stretch from base 1 to 120 matches the Rfam family "5.8S ribosomal RNA", at positions 35 to 154 of the family's 154-position model. The record is from RNAcentral.